RNAcentral lists this transfer-messenger RNA (400 nucleotides) under Muribaculaceae. RNAcentral describes it as "CAG-873 sp014800815 Standard tmRNA". It matches the Rfam family "transfer-messenger RNA". Rfam says of the family: Bacterial tmRNA, also known as 10Sa RNA or SsrA, is named for its dual tRNA and mRNA-like properties. Its role is to liberate the mRNA from a stalled ribosome. The record is from RNAcentral. Lineage: Bacteria; Pseudomonadati; Bacteroidota; Bacteroidia; Bacteroidales. RNAcentral also lists the same sequence under 1 other name.
GGGGUUGACAGGUUUUGACAGCGUGUAGAAGAGGUGUGUAAGCGUGCAGAGCUUUGAGGUCUAUGCUCUAUAAUAUCAGGCUUCGAACAAUUUAAAUGGCGAAAAUAACUACGCUCUUGCUGCUUGAUUGAAGUACAGUAGAUCAGCUUAAUCGCCGCAAAAGUUGCAGCGACAAGACAUCGCCCGACUGUCCUUUUUCCGAGACGUGUCGACCAGGCGGUGCAGGAAUAUCGGGAAUAGGUAGCCAAGAACCUCGCGAGGCAACCGAAAUUUUAGAGGUUAAGGUCGUGGUUGGUAGUUUCAGGCCUGCCACAGCACGAAAAUCAACUUGAAACUACGCACGUAGAAAGCGCAUUAAUUCCGCGUUUGGACGAGGGUUCGAAUCCCUCCAGCUCCACUA